CCCUUAGAUGUCCUGGGCCGCACGCGCGUUACACUGAUGCAUUCAACGAGCUUAUAACCUUGGCCGAGAGGCCUGGGCAAUCUUGUUAACGUGCAUCGUGAUAGGGAUAGAUUAUUGAAAUUAUUAAUCUUGAACGAGGAAUUCCUAGUAAACGCAGAUCAUCAAUCUGCAUUGAUUACGUCCCUGCCCUUUGUACACACCGCCCGUCGCACCUACCGAUUGGAUGAUCCGAUGAAUACCAUGGAUUGAGAGUACGAAUAGGUUCGCUUAUUUCUGCUUCUCGAGAAGUGGAGUAAAUCUUAUCAUUUAGAGGAAGGAGAAGUCGUAACA
RNAcentral lists this ribosomal RNA (330 nucleotides) under uncultured eukaryote. Its description in RNAcentral is "partial 18S ribosomal RNA". It matches the Rfam family "Eukaryotic small subunit ribosomal RNA", at positions 1470 to 1796 of the family's 1831-position model. The record is from RNAcentral.